GCCUGAUCCAGCCAUGCCGCGUGUGUGAAGAAGGCCUUAGGGUUGUAAAGCACUUUCAUUGGGGAGAAAGGCUGUUUGGUUAAUACCCAAGCAGAUUGAUGUUACCCAAAGAAGAAGGACCGGCUAACUCCGUGCCAGCAGCCGCGGUAAUACGGAGGGUCCAAGCGUUAAUCGGAAUUACUGGGCGUAAAGCGUGCGCAGGCGGUUUUGUAAGACAGAUGUGAAAUCCCCGGGCUUAACCUGGGAACUGCGUUUUGUGACUGCAAGGCUAGAGUACGGCAGAGGGGGGUGGGAAUUCCUGGUGUAGCAGUGAAAUGCGUAGAGAUCAGGAGGAACACCGAUGGCGAAGGCAGCCCCCUCGGGCCUGUACUGACGCUCAUGCACGAAAGCGUGGGGAGCAAACAGGAUUAGAUACCCUGGUAGUCCACGCCCUAAACGAUGUCGACUAGUCGUUCGGAGCAGCAAUGCACUGAGUGACGCAGCUAACGCGUGAAGUCGACCGCCGUGGGGAGGUACGGCCGCAA
RNAcentral lists this ribosomal RNA (524 nucleotides) under uncultured bacterium. RNAcentral's name for it is "bacterial SSU rRNA". It matches the Rfam family "Bacterial small subunit ribosomal RNA", at positions 381 to 891 of the family's 1533-position model. The record is from RNAcentral.